Molecule: ribosomal RNA, 434 nt
Filed under: uncultured bacterium
Lineage: Bacteria
Description: partial 16S ribosomal RNA
Rfam family: Bacterial small subunit ribosomal RNA
Source: RNAcentral
AGCGAACGCUGGCGGCAGGCCUAACACAUGCAAGUCGAACGAACCUUUCGGGGUUAGUGGCGGACGGGUGAGUAACACGUGGGAACGUGCCUUUAGGUUCGGAAUAACUCAGGGAAACUUGUGCUAAUACCGAAUGUGCCCUUCGGGGGAAAGAUUUAUCGCCUUUAGAGCGGCCCGCGUCUGAUUAGCUAGUUGGUUGAGGUAAUGGCUCACCAAGGCGACGAUCAGUAGCUGGUCUGAGAGGAUGAUCAGCCACAUUGGGACUGAGACACGGCCCAAACUCCUACGGGAGGAAGCAGUGGGGAAUCUUGCGCAAUGGGCGAAAGACUGACGCAGCCAUGCCGCGUGAAUGAUGAAGGUCUUAGGAUUGUAAAAUUCUUUCACCGGGGACGAUAAUGACGGUACCCGGAGAAGAAGCCCCGGCUAACUUCGUG